This 375-nucleotide ribosomal RNA is filed under the name Amazophrynella moisesii. RNAcentral's name for it is "partial 12S ribosomal RNA". It matches the Rfam family "Bacterial small subunit ribosomal RNA", at positions 878 to 1421 of the family's 1533-position model. Lineage: Eukaryota; Metazoa; Chordata; Amphibia; Anura; Bufonidae. The record is from RNAcentral.
GAUUACUUGCCAAGCGCUUAAAACCCAAAGGACUUGACGGUGCCCUAUAUCCAUCUAGAGGAGCCUGUCCUAUAAUCGAUAAUCCACGUUUAACCUCACCACUUCUAGUUUAUCAGCCUGUAUACCUCCGUCGUCAGCUUACCUCGUGAGCGCUGCAUAGUGAGCAUAAUGUCUUCCAACAACACGUCAGGUCAAGGUGCAGCAAAUGGGGUGGGAAGAGAUGGGCUACACUUUCUACUUUAGAACACACGGAAAACUAUCAUGAAAUCUAGUUUGAAGGCGGAUUUAGCAGUAAAAAGAAACCAUAAUACUCUUUUUAAAUUGGCACUAGGGUGUGUACACACCGCCCGUCACCCUCUUCGAAACAAUUUAUUA